Molecule: ribosomal RNA, 459 nt
Filed under: uncultured bacterium
Lineage: Bacteria
Description: partial 16S ribosomal RNA
Rfam family: Bacterial small subunit ribosomal RNA
Source: RNAcentral
CCUACGGGAGGCUGCAGAGAGGAAUAUUGGUCAAUGGCCGAGAGGCUGAACCAGCCAAGUCGCGUGAGGGAAGAAUGUCCUAUGGAUUGUAAACCUCUUUUGUCAGGGAGCAAAGUCACCCACGUGUGGGUGUUGGAGAGUACCUGAAGAAAAAGCAUCGGCUAACUCCGUGCCAGCAGCCGCGGUAAUACGGAGGAUGCGAGCGUUAUCCGGAUUUAUUGGGUUUAAAGGGUGCGUGGGCGGGUUAUGAAGUCAGCGGUAAAAUCGUAGAGCUCAACUCCAUCCAGCCGUUGAAACUGAUGGUCUUGAGUGGGCGAGAAGUAGGCGGAAUGCGUGGUGUAGCGGUGAAAUGCAUAGAUAUCACGCAGAACUCCGAUUGCGAAGGCAGCAUACCGGCGCCCGACUGACGCUGAGGCACGAAAGCGUGGGUAUCGAACAGGAUUAGAUACCCCAGUAGUC